RNAcentral lists this ribosomal RNA (483 nucleotides) under uncultured bacterium. RNAcentral describes it as "partial 16S ribosomal RNA". It matches the Rfam family "Bacterial small subunit ribosomal RNA", at positions 29 to 506 of the family's 1533-position model. The record is from RNAcentral.
AUUGAACGCUGGCGGCAUGCUUUACACAUGCAAGUCGAACGGCAGCGCGGGCUUCGGCCUGGCGGCGAGUGGCGAACGGGUGAGUAAUACAUCGGAACGUGCCCAGUAGUGGGGGAUAGCUCGGCGAAAGCCGGAUUAAUACCGCAUACGACCUGAGGGUGAAAGCGGGGGAUCUUCGGACCUCGCGCUAUUGGAGCGGCCGAUGGCAGAUUAGUCAGUUGGUGGGGUAAAGGCCUACCAAGGCGACGAUCUGUAGCUGGUCUGAGAGGACGACCAGCCACACUGGGACUGAGCCGCGGCCCAGGCUCCUACGGGAGGCAGCAGUGGGGAAUUUUGGACAAUGGGCGAAAGCCUGAUCCAGCAAUGCCGCGUGUGUGAUGAAGGCCUUCGGGUUGUAAAGCACUUUUGGCGGGAACGAAAAGGACUGUGCCAAUACCACGGUUCGAUGACGGUACCCGCAGAAUAAGUACCGGCUAACUACGU